This 359-nucleotide long non-coding RNA is filed under the name Ovis aries (sheep). RNAcentral's name for it is "lncRNA (ENSOARG00000026213.1)". The record is from RNAcentral. Lineage: Eukaryota; Metazoa; Chordata; Mammalia; Artiodactyla; Bovidae.
GUUCACUGGAAAAUGUAACAAAUAAUUUCAAGGUUAUGUCACUCUUGGCAAGCACAGUAACGCUGGUGAAAAAAAGGGAAGUUUUCAGAGCAAGGCAAAGACUGAAAUCUUGUUUGGAGCCACCAGUCUACAAAGCCCGCAGUGGAACCAUAGUGCUCAGAUUCACAGGGGUCUCUGAUGCUCCCAGAUAUGGAAUGCCAACUGACUCUAAGAAGGAUGAGACACAGAGACCAGAACUUAACUGCCUUUCCCAGAUUAAAAGGUCCUGGAUUUGGAUCUGUUCUUCUGCAUUCAGAAUACCUCCCAUGAAGCACCAAGGCCACAUUCCAACACCUCAGCGCCUUUGGUUACAUUCCUGA